Ictalurus punctatus (channel catfish) is the source of this 471-nucleotide long non-coding RNA. RefSeq lists it as uncharacterized. The transcript is spliced from 3 exons. The record is from RefSeq and is a predicted model, not a curated record. Lineage: Eukaryota; Metazoa; Chordata; Actinopteri; Siluriformes; Ictaluridae.
CAGCUAUAAAGAAGGAAGAAGGAAAGCCAAAGAGGGCAGGACCUGGUCAGACCUCCAGUCAAACGUGGAAGUGUCUGGGCAAAGACCAGCAAGGAGGAAUGUCUGGAUUGGCCCACCCUGGAGGUCAGGAGCACUGUUUGUUUGACUCGAAGUAUGUGUGCCGCACCACACAAACACAUUCGUCCACCUGCCCCCACUGUUAAGCUCCCCACAGUCACACCAAACAUCAAUUUCACCCCUGUUCCCACCGCCACUUUACCAGCAGCACCACCGCCAGCAGCACACGACUCAUUCACAGAGAUGCUGCAGAACUGGCAGCCGAUGGACGAUAUGCCAUCACUGCCAGGCGGUCAGACUUUAUGAGGGGACCCCCAGCAAUCAUCAGAACCAGGUAGGGCCAACCGUGAUUUCCACUCAGCCAUCUUACUGGAAUUUGUGUAGGUUAGGAAUAAGACUGAGGAUGGAUUUGUA